This 11193-nucleotide long non-coding RNA is filed under the name Setaria italica (foxtail millet). RNAcentral describes it as "long non-coding RNA (SITA_LNC007488)". Lineage: Eukaryota; Viridiplantae; Streptophyta; Magnoliopsida; Poales; Poaceae. The record is from RNAcentral.
CCAAAUGCCCUGGCUUACUUCCUUAUCUGGAACAUCUGUCAAGUGAGGGCUAUGAGCUGUGCGCUGGACUGGAAAGGCUCGACACUGAUUAUUACUCUUUCCUCACCACGUCAUUCUGCAAGUGCCUCACCUCCCUCCGACGCCUAGAGUUACACGAUCCUACGGGGGAAGUGACGGGACUAACGGAGGAGCAAGAGAGAGCGCUUCCGCACCUCACGUCCCUGCAGGAGCUACGAUUUGAGGAUUUCACCUACCUCGAAAGUCUUCCUGUGGGUCUGCACAGCCUUUCCUCCCUCAAGAGGUUGGAGAUCAUUGCUUGCCAUUGGAUCUCAAGGCUGCCAGAAAAGGGGCUCCCACCUUCGCUUGAAGAAAUUGAGAUCAGCGGUUGCAGCGAGGAGCUAACUGAUGAAUGCAGAAUGCUAGCAACAAAAACAAGGAAGCCAAAAGUCAAAAUUGGUGGGAAAUAUGUGAGCUGAUUACUGGGUGGUUGUUAAGCAGACUUGUCUACCAGCAAAGCGGGUUUCACUCUGUUGCCUUCUGAGGUAUAUGCCUCUACCGUCAAUCAUGUUAUUAUCAGAUUUUACAUCCCUCGGUGUCAUGUGAAAAUAAGCUGUCCCAUUGCUGCUUUGCAGGCAUUCAAGCUGCUGUACGUUCCAGUGUUCCACUACUAAAUCUCAUACAACUACGUGCUGUUCAACAAAGCAUCCACACAUCCCUGUUUCUUGCAGAUCACCCAUUGCAGGGCUCAUGUUUGCCAGACGGGAGGCCCAACGCCCAAGGUGUGCUUCUUUUUACUCAUAACCAUCAAAAAUAGAAUUGUUUCGCUUCUCGAACCUCGUCGUCACUGGCCAUAAGCUGCCGAAUGUUAAUAGUUUUGCUGUCAUGUGAACUGAAAACAGUCUGUUUUGUACUUCUAUUCUAUGCUAUUCAUCUCAUCUUGCAAUCUGAACGCUCAAAGGCCUGAAGCUGUGAAUAUGCCUGUUAUAAUUUGGUAACUUUAGAAAUUGUUUUGAAGGAAUCGUACAAGAUAGUGCGAGUUUCCGGGUGGCAACUCAAGGCGCUUCAGGCCCAAAUCCCAAUCGACAGCCACUUUGCGCAGAGAUGGACCUCAUGCCCGAUUGGGAUUUGGGAACCCACGUUGAGGCUCUCACUCAAUAAAGAAAACCAAAAGAAAGACUAAUGAUGAUCUGGGCCACUUUGAACUGAAGGCCCCAGCUAAAGCAGACGCCCAGUUACCGACCGGCCCACGGUAUCACAAAUCCACAACCAGUCAACCACAACGAUCCUCUUCCCUCUAAUGAAAAAAUCCUAAUAUAGCGUCCGAUAAAAAUAUGGUUCUCUCACACUACAAAGUUUUUGUCUUCCUUAUUUAACAAAGUUUUGUCUUCCUUAUUUAACAUCGGAGCUUUUCGUUCAUUCCUUCCUUGAUUUUAUUUUGAGCGUUAAGUCUACCUGAAAACACAUUUUUGGGCCCCCCCCCCCCCCCCCCCCCCCCCCCCUCAUCUAGAAAUAUAUGGUGAAUUCCAUACAAUAUGUUAACCUCUCCUAUAUGCUCGUUUCUGUACCGCUCAUGCUCGGUGUAGGUGACCUCCAUGUCUUCACUAGCUCCGUUGAAGCUCAAUUCAAGUAGGAAUUGGUAUUUAAUAAUGUGCCUGGCAACUUGAUUUUGUAAUUAAAGCUUGAUUUAUCAGCUGCAAGAUGGAUUUGAGCUCGAUUUGAGGAUGCGGUCUGGUCGUCUGCGAUUACAGUCUGGUUUGGGACUGGCCCGGCCCAGGCCUUUCUCGAUGACACGGACCUGCACAGCCUCCGCCCUCCAGCAUGCACAGGGCGCAAUCCAGCAGCCGUGCGCCGGAGACUGACGCAGCGUUGGCGGCCGCGGUCACACGAGCUAUUGCUGCGUGGGUGCCUGGGACCUGGGCUGUACACUAGCGGUGACGCUGUUGGCGUGGCAUCACAAGGACGUCGACCUCGUGUGCCCGCUCUUGCAGCUCCUCGACGAGGAGGACGAGCUCCAGGACGCAGACACACGCCGCGAGAACUACACCUGCGAGCCGGCGGGGUGCCGAAUGGGAUCCCAGAUGUCUACGCUUGAUGAGAUCCCCUCCACGCGGUCACGCCACUCAAAGCUGCGCCGUUCCCUUCGUCUCCGGAUGCGGCAAGUGCUGUGCCGGCGCGGCUCCCCGUUCCCUUGAGGCGCGUGCUUGUCUCCCUCCGCGCCGGCCGUUGGAUAGCUUGAUGGUGGCAGGCUAGCAGCGCUGCAGCGGCGGCGGAUGGCGCUCCGAUUGCAGCAAGACUGCUUGCAUGUGAGUGUGUGGCCUCGCCGGACCCUGGUGGCGGUCGGUGUCUGCGGCGGCCUUCCAAAUAUCCUCCGGGGUAUUUUGAUCACAAACCAAAUGUCUGACGUUCGUGAAAGAGAAUUUUAACGGAAAUAGCUGAGGGAUCUAAGGGAAGUGUAAAUUCGGUGCCAAAUAAGGAAGACGACAAUUUAUGGUGUCAUAGGGAAUCAAAUCUUUAUCUCGUGCUAUAUAUGUGAGGAAUUUUCUCAAUGAAAAAAUGGUCAGCAUGAUAGCGCAGUUGCAGACUUGCUUGCAGUGAGACGCCGCGCUGUACUGAAGGGUGGUGCUACAAGAUGCGUGGAUCAAGUACGAUGGCGCUGCAUGCAGCGUGAAGCUAGGGUAUCCGUCAUUGACAGUUUGUUUGAGAUCGGGAGACUGAUCCGUCUGGCGGCACCAUGAUUCUACCGCUGUAGCACUGUGUGUAUGGCAAGGAAAUCUCAAUCGAUGCGCUAUUUCGUCUUUCUUUCUAAAAAUGAGCCGCGUUGGCGUUGCCAUGCAAAAUGGGAAAUUACAGCACUGAAUCACUAUGGAACUGUUUCCGAUAUUGGUUAAUCUGUUGCUUCGCAGUAAUUUUUUCUGUCUUCUCGAGGACACACGAACCCGAUCUGCGUGCCUUCUUUCGUUACGGCGAGCACAACAACUGUGACCAAUCGUUCUCGUGCCAGCGCACACGUUGACUAGGGAGCUUGCUAGGAGUAGUGGUACUCUUCUUAGCAGAAAUGGAACCGGGACUUGCAAACGGGAUCAGGGACCGGGACUUAAACGUUUGAGGCGUUGUAUGCAGGCCACGAAAGAUGGAGGUUCGAGUCCGACGGCAACUUCGAGGAAAGAUCGUUCCUGUAGAUUUCAGUGAUGGAUGUGAUGGCCCUGUCCCGCCCUGUGCCCCUGCUGGAUAAAUAGGGACCGGGACUUGAGAUGAAUCGGGAUUAGGUACCGGGACUCACGAACCGGGAUCAGGUUUGGGUUCACAUUUUAUUUGGAGGGAGAAGCAGAGCUCGGACGGUCAAUAUUCUCGACGACUUUGUCCGAACCCUGUGUUUGGAACCGGGAGCGGUACCAGGAGUCCGGGACCGGGACCGGGACCGGGACAGGGACUUCCUUUUUCUAUAUAUAAUACGCCAACUCCGGCCACUCCAUCCCCCAAGCCUCAAAACAAGAGCCACGGUACCAAGAGACGAUGGAUGUCCUCGUCAACAUGCUGAGAUUGAUCUCCGAUGCUUUCGGCGACAUGGAGAAGCUGCCGGCGGUGCUGAUCUUGUGCGGCGGCGUCCUAGCUGCGGCAGCGCUCAGACUCGCCAUCUUCUACCACGGUGAGCCGCCCUUCUACCUGUACCGCGGAACUCUCAUCACACUAGUGAUAAUCGGGUUCAUGGAGACAUGCGCCGGCCUAUGGCUCACAGGUGACCUGACUGGUCGGCAGGACACCGGGAAGACAAUUCUGGGGUUUUCCAUCCUCCCUUUGAUCAUCGUUGCAGCCCUUGGUGGUUUUGUCUAGCAGUUGCAGGCAGGCUGUGCGUCGUUGUGUCUUGUGUGCGUAUGUAUGUCAAACACCAGUUGCUCUGUGUCAUCAACUUAGCAUUUGAGGAAUCACCGAGAGGUUUCAAUUGUUACCAAGCAUUUUUGUGUUUAGGUCUGUACUGUAUGUGCGAUUUCGUCUGUCAUGUUGUAACUGUUCGAGUAACAAAAUAAAAAAAUUUGGUUUCUGGUACCAACGGGUUGCUUUACGUAUGAAUCGAUGUUGUUUUUUUAAAGACUAAUAAAUCGACGUGGUUUGAUGUUGUUUUUCCCUAUCUCGAAUCAGAAAUUCUGCACUAAGCUAGUCUCCCACCAGCGUAAGUCCUACUAUAGGUACCUUUGCCUACUCAUGUUUACUCUCUCCUGCGUAGAAUGACUGGUGGAGAAAAAAAAAGAAUGAGUAUGAUGGUUUAUCAAGCAACAGUGCAGUACUCCCUUCGUUCCAAAUUGUAGGUCGUUUUGACUAUAUCUAUAUGCAUCUAGACAUACACUAUAUCUAUAUGCAUAAUAAUAUUUGCAAACUAAAAAAUUAAAAUGACUUAUAAUUUGAAACGGAGGGAGUACAAGAUGACAACUGCAGAAAAAAAAUCUUCCGAGCAAUAUAAUAGUAAUCUUGAGAAGCAAAUAUUAAGCAUUUUGUUCCUUCUUUCAAAGCUAAGAACGAGUGGAUGUUCGGGAAAGGGAUCGGGAUCGUGAACCGGGACCGGGACCGGGACCGGGACCGGGAUUGCGUUAACGUGGAAGGAGAAAAAGGUUUGGUAGUUCAACAAGAGUACAAGACGUCGCAAUUUUAAACAAAAAGGGCCGAGGCCUGCGGUUGAGCCCGCUGGGCUUGUUUGAAGACCCAGUUUCGACUACUUCAGACUAAAGAGCAGGUCGAAGGACUCCCGGCCCAGUUGGAGCAGAAGCUGCAAAUGUUUUUUUUUUUUAAGAAAACAGCGUAGCAGCGGUGGUUGCGGUUGCGGUGCUCAAGGGCUCCACGUUCAGUCAAAGGCGUGCAUUAUUCCGCAGAAAAAGGUGACAGGCACGUUUGCGGUAGGCGGGCUCUCCCUUGACCCGUUCUUGGUCCUUAUCUGCUCGUCUUGUCUCUACUUCCAUUCCAAGCUUCGUGGCUGCGUAGUGUUUCUGUGAAAUCUUGUUCCCUUCCCGUCCUAGUCAUUUGCAUCCUCCCAGUGAUUACUAGCUAGCUAGCCCAAGAACUGCCUUCUGCACAUGCCGGAUCUGAUGGAGGCCGUAGAGAACGCCCUCGUCGAGGGCAAGAUCCUAUGGCUGGCGCAAACCAUCCUGGAGGGCAUCUUCAGCGGCGAGCACGACGAAUGGAUUCGCCACGUUGGGCUUGGAGAAGGCAUGAAGCAGCUCAAGUCUGAGAUCGAGAGGGUUGAGACGGUGGUUGCCGCUGUCAAGGGGAGGGCCACCGGGAACAAGCCGCUGGCCGGAUCGCUCGCUCGUCUCAGUGAGCUGAUGUAUGACGCCGACGACUUGGUCGACGAGCUCGACUACUUUAGGCUACAGGAGCAGGUCGAAAGAGGUAAAUGAUCCUUGUUAAAUAGUACUAUAUUAGACGUAUUCCUUGAAUCAAUAAAACCCAUUCCUUAUCCACGUUGGUUUCUUAUGGCACAGGUACGAUUGCUUGUGCUAACGAGUCCGAGCGCACGGAUGGCCAUGAAGCAGAGCAAGUGGAAGGAUCCAGGGACAAUCCCCAUAUACAGACUAGCAAGAGGCGCACGAAUCGGUGCAAGGAAUGGGACCAUUUUACCGAGAUAAUGGUUAAUGGAAAGACUCAGGGAGCAAAAUGUAAAUACUGUGGUAAGGAAGUUAAAUGCGGUGGUACGACCGGGACAAACGGUUUGAACAAGCAUAUCAGGAGUAAAAAAUGUCUGAGCAAACGUCCAGCAGCUGAAGAACCGACAAAUACUACAAGGUAGUGCAAUACACAUACCAGAUAACAUGUUCCAUUUAUAUCUUUAUUACAUCAGUGCACUUUUGCAUUGUCAAAUAAUGAUUGGUGGUAGCUUUUGAGAUGUUCUUUCUCUCCAUAAAUUGGAUCACCCAAACAUCAACCUUGGUUAUACAUAAAGUGCAAUAAUUUUCUUUUCAGUGUAACAGGAGGGACAAAGCCCCUAAUGGUUAUAUAUUAAAAAAAAGGAAAAAGUUAAAGCGUUACAACAAGAAGAAGAAAAAAGUUCAAUAAAUUGCUUCCCAAUAAAUUGUAAUGCAUCCCUGAAUCAUGCUCCCUCCGUUUAUGUUUAUAAGGCGUACGCGCAUACCAAGAUUCAAACUUUGUAUAUUUGACUAAUAAUUUAACCAAUAUUUUUUAUUUUUAUGAUGUAAACUCGAAAUGGUUGGAUUUGUGUUUAUAACCAUAAAUAAUAUAAUAUAAAAUAGAUUCAUGAUCAAAGUAUAAUUUGGAAGAUCAUGCCAUGUCAUAUCACACCUUAUAAAAAUAAACAGAGGGAUCAUUUUCUUCAUGCAGUUCCACUGAUGGUGCACCAAAUGAUACCACCAAUGCAACCCGGGAUUCGUUCAUCAGAGAAAAAAGGAUGAGAGUCAAUGAGGCAUCAACACACAGCGCUGCAUCUAACACACGCCCUUGGAACAAGGCCGGACUUCCUAAUAGGAUACGCCAAAUAGUUUUUGAGUUACAAGACUCGCGAGGGAAUGUGUGCGAUUUUCUCAAGGAUUCUGUCGCGUGUUCAGUUCAAAGUCAGAGCAACAGCUCAGAUACACGGACAACAACAUCAAGCUGUGUUCCUCGAGAAGUCCACGGGAGGGAUGUGGAGAAGGACUACAUCAUAAGGGUGAUCACAGCUGCAGAAUCUAAUGUCAUAACUGUACUGCCUAUUGUAGGCAUUGUAGGGGUUGGGAAGACAGCUCUAGCUCAACUUGUCUACAAUGAUCCAACUGUUAUAAGUCAAUUUGAGCGGAUAUGGAUUUGGGUGUCCGACAUGUUUGAUAAAGUGAGACUUACAAAUGAGAUGUUAGAUGUUGUUGCCCUAGAAAGCCACAACAGGCCUCCUCGUAACAAAGAAAGCCAUGAAGGACAAAUGAGAAACUACUCAAAGCUUCAAGAGAUAUUAAAGGAACAUAUGGGGCACCGGUCCAAAAGGUUUUUCCUUGUUCUAGAUGAUGUCACUGACUGCAUGGAUAGCUACCAAUGGAAUGAACUAUUGUCUCCUUUGAAAUCAAGUCAGAAAAAGGGCAAUGUGAUUGUUAUAACAACUAGAAAUUUGUCUGUUGCACGAAGGCUAGGUACAGUUGAACCGAUUAAGUUAGUUGCUCUGAAAAAUGAUGCUUUUUGGUUAUUGUUUAAAGCAUGCGCAUUUGGUGAUGACAAUUACGAAAGGCAUCCAAGUCUAAACAUCAUCGGACGUCAAAUUGCUGCAAAGUUAAAGGGAAACCCAUUAGCAGCGCAAACUGCAGGAGAAGUAUUAAAAAAACAUCUUACUAUUGAUCAUUGGAGUACCAUUCUGAAGAGUGAAGACCAAAAAUCCAUGCUACUUAAUACAGGCAUCAUGCAUGCUUUGAAGCUUAGCUAUGAUAAGCUUCCCUACCAUUUGCAGCAGUGUUUCUUGUAUUGUUCAAUAUUUCCUGAUAAUUAUAAGUUUCUUGCUGAGGAUCUGGUUCGUACUUGGAUUUCACAAGGAUUUUUAAGAUGUAAAAACUCGAAGAAGACACCAGAGGAGACAGGACGGGACUAUCUCCAUGAUUUAGUGGACCUGUGCUUCUUUGAGGAAGUAGAAAAGGAAGAGUCCAGCCCCACUCAAGGAGCGGAAGAGUCCACUCCACCCACUGGGACAUGCUAUGUUAUGUGUGGAAUCAUGUAUGAAUUUGCAAGGGUGGUUUCAGGGAGUCAUUUUGCAACAAUAUGUGGUUUAGAGCGGAACGAAAUUCUGCCAACCAUACGUCAUGUUUCAAUUCACAGCAUACUUAAUCAUAAGGAGUUUGAAGAAAAAUUGCAAACUAUAGUUCCAUUAGUGAGAAAUUUGAGGACAUUGAUAUUAAUCGGGAGAUGCGAGUCUUUCUUCUUCCAGUCCUUCCAAGAUAUAUUCCAGAAGGCAUGUCACUUACGUUUGCUACAGAUUUCCGCAACACAAGCUAAUUUUUAUACUUCCGUGCUGAAUUUGGUAAAUCCUACCCAUAUUCGCUACCUAAAAUUUGGGAACAAUGGAAGUGCUAUUUCUCUGAGCAAGUUUUAUCACCUUCAAGUAUUGGAUGCUGGACACCCAACUAUAGUUCAUGGUGUGAAUGAUCUCAUCAGCAUGAGGUAUCUAUUUGUAACAAAGGGAGCACGCUCUUUUAUUCCUAGAGUUGGUGAAACGAGUAAUAGUCAGGACAUGCAGAAUUCCACGGAUCAAAAUUCUAGUCGCUUUGAGAUAACACAGCUUCGAUCCAUGAAUAAGCUUGUACAACUUGGUGUUUUUCAUCUGGUCAAUGUAAGUAGGUCGGAGGCUGAUGGGGCAAAAUUGAGAGACAAACAGCAAUUAGAAAAGCUUAUCUUGUCCUGGAAGGAUACAAAUGAUGACAUUAGCAUCUCGGAAGCAGAAGAGGGGAGCAGCCCAACGGAUGAUAGUGAUUCAAGCUACACAAAUGAUGACAUUAGCAUCUCGGAAGUAGAAGAGGGGAGCAGCCAAAUGGAUGAUAGUGAUGAAGAGGGGAGAAGCCGAAUGGAUGAUAGUGAUCCAAACUAUGGACCAUUGAUAAACACGGAAACGGAAAGGGAGAGGUCGCAAACGGAUGGUAGUAAUAAUAGCCCGAGGUCUGGACCUUUUAUUGACAUGGCACAUGAUGUCCUUGAGGGCCUUGAACCACAUCAAAAUCUAAAACAUCUUCAAAUCUCUGGGUACAGCGGUUCUACCUCCCCAGCUUGGCUUGCCACUUCAGUUACUUUCUUGCAGGCACUUCAUCUAGAGGAUUGUGGAGAAUGGAAAAUACUUCCAUCUUUGGAAAGCCUUAAAUUUCUUACAAAGCUGAAGCUAAGUAAUAUGCAGAAAGUAAAGAAAGUAUCAAUCGUACCAUUGGAGGAGCUGGUGCUGAUUAAUAUGCCAAAGUUGGAGUGUUGUUCCUGCAAUUCCGUGAUGGACUUGAACUCCAGUUUAAGGGUCCUCAAGUUUGAGCAAUGUCAUGUUCUGAAGGUCUUUCCCCUCUUUGAGAGCUGGAAGAAAUUAAAAAUUGAGCGCAAGUCAUGGUUGUCCUGUGUUAAGGAACUUACCAUCUGUGAAUGUCCCCAUUUAAUGGUACCGAAUCCUCUACCACCUUCUAGUAAUGUUUGUAAACUACACAUCGCAAGAGUUUCAACACUCCCAACGAUGGAGGGAUCAUCCAGCGAAAAACUGGUAAUCGGAAUACACAAUUGGAGAAAAAUUGUUAAGAAUGGUUGGCUGACGGACCUGGAUGACAGAACUUGGAGACAAAUUGAUAAGAAUGAUUGGCUGACGGAGCUGGAUGACAGAACUCGGAGAGAAAUUAAUAAGAAUGAUGGGCUGACGGAGCUGGAUGACAGAAUUUUGUCAUUCCAUAAUUUGAGGGCCCUUAGCCGAUUGCAUAUAGCAGGCUGCCAAAAACUAUCUUCUAUUUCACUCGAAGGUUUCAGGCAACUCAUUAGCUUAAAGACUAUGGACAUAAGCUUCUGCAUUAACCUUUUCUCUUCAGAUGUCCCACCACCACCAGAGCAUACCCAUGAAGACAUGACCGACAUAAAUUUCAAUGCCCUCCCAUCUCUCAAGCAUCUCAGAAUUGAAUUUUGUGGAAUAACUGGGAUGUGGGUAUCUGUGAUGCUGCGCCAUGCACCAGCCCUAGAGGAAUUGCGCUUGGAUGAUUGCGACCAGAUAUCAGGACUGUUGAUCGAAGUGGGAGAUAGUAGUUCAUCAAAUCACACCUCGGCUCCACGGGCUCCAUCAGCAGGAAACCCAGAUGACGCAUUGACAAGCUCAACUCCAGAUGGACUCCUGCGCAUCCCAUCAAAUUCCGUCUCCUCUCUCAAGAAAAUGUCUAUUCUGUGGUGCAGAGAGCUAACAUUUCAGGGGAACAAGGAAGGCUUCUCUGGAUUCACCUCCCUUGAGGAGCUAAAAAUUGCUGGAUGCCCCAAACUGAUCCCGUCUUUGGUGCAGACAUAUGAAAACAACGACCAGCGAAACGGAAGAUGGCUUCUCCCGUAUUCACUUGGCAAACUUGAUAUCGAGGAAUCCCCAGAAACGCUGCAGCCCUGCUUCCUAGAAGAUCACAACUGCCUCAAAAAGUUAAAAAUACGUUACAGCCCAAGUUUAAAAUUGGUACAGUUGCAUUCCUGCACGGCACUGGAAGAGUUGACGGUUUAUGAUUGUGCAUCGCUCGCUGCACUAGAGGGGAAUUUCACCUGCCUCCGGAAAUUAGAUCUGUUUCACAACCCAAGACUAAAAUCGCUACAGCUGCAUUCCUGCACAACGCUGGAAGAGUUGAUGGUUCAGUAUUGUGCAUCGCUCGCUGCACUAGAGGGGAAUUUCACCUGCCUCCGGAAAUUAUAUGUGUUUCACAACCCAAGACUGAAAUCGCUACAGCUGCAUUCCUGCACAACGCUGGAAGAGUUGAUGGUUCAGUAUUGUGCAUCGCUCGCUGCACUAGAGGGGAAUUUCACCUGCCUCCGGAAAUUAGAUCUGUUUCACAACCCAAGACUGAAAUCGCUACAGCUGCAUUCCUGCACAACGCUGGAAGAGUUGAUGGUUUAUGAUUGUGCAUCGCUCGCUGCACUAGAGGGGAAUUUCACCUGCCUCCGGAAAUUAUAUGUGUUUCACAACCUAAGACUGAAAUCGCUACAGCUGCAUUCCUGCACAACGCUGGAAGAGUUGACGGUUGAGGCUUGUGAAUCGCUCGCUGCACUAGAGGACUUCCGGUCCCUCAGAGGUCUCAGGUAUUUAAAAGUAACCGAAUGCCCUGGCUUACUUCCUUAUCUGGAACAUCUGUCAAGUCAGGGCUAUGAGCUGUGCGCUGGACUGGAAAGGCUCCACACUGAUGAUUACUCUUUCCUCACCACGUCAUUCUGCAAGUGCCUCACCUCCCUCCGACGCCUGGAGUUACACCAUCCUACGGGGAAAGUGACGGGACUAACGGAGGAGCAAGAGAGAGCGCUUCAGCACCUCACGUCCCUGCAGGAGCUACGAUUUGAGGGUUGCUCCAACCUCGCAGGUCUUCCUGUGGGUCUGCACAGCCUUUCCUCCCUCAAGAGGUUGGAGAUCAAUUAUUGCCCGUUUCUCUCAAGGCUGCCAGAAAAGGGGCUCCCACCUUCGCUUGAAGAACUUAAGAUCUUGGGUUGCAGCGAGGAGCUAGCUGAUGAAUGCAGAAUGCUAGCAACAACAACAAGGAAGCNNNN